Molecule: transfer RNA, 73 nt
Filed under: Wolbachia pipientis
Lineage: Bacteria; Pseudomonadati; Pseudomonadota; Alphaproteobacteria; Rickettsiales; Anaplasmataceae
Also listed under: 5 other names
Description: tRNA-Val
Rfam family: tRNA
About the family: Transfer RNA (tRNA) molecules are approximately 80 nucleotides in length. Their secondary structure includes four short double-helical elements and three loops (D, anti-codon, and T loops).
Source: RNAcentral
GGGCAAUUAGCUCAGCUGGUAGAGCAUCUCGUUUACACCGAGGAGGUCGACAGUUCAAGUCUGUCAUUGCCCA